This 311-nucleotide long non-coding RNA is filed under the name Trifolium pratense (red clover). RNAcentral's name for it is "long non-coding RNA (TPRA_LNC006784)". Lineage: Eukaryota; Viridiplantae; Streptophyta; Magnoliopsida; Fabales; Fabaceae. The record is from RNAcentral.
CAAGGCCCCGUCUCGUUUUGCUAUAAGCAAGGGCGUGGCAAGGCACGCGGGGGGCCAAAAAAUCAAAGUGCUCCGAAAUGCACACGGGGGUGUCAAGUGUAACGACCCAAUUUUCAUAUUAUUAUUUUUAUGUGUUAAAAUAUUUUAUUAACGUGGAAUUUUAAUUAAGUUAAUAACUAGAGUUAUUUAUCGAGUACUUUAGUUAUUAAGCGAGUAGUGAGAGUUAACGUGUUAUUGGGCCAAGCCAAUUGGGCUUGAGGCCCAAUGGGCCUUGUGUGUGUGUGGAGCGCCCAUAUGGGCAUAAGUGAGGG